UUUGCGUCGAAGGUAUACCGGUAAGGAGUGCUGGAGCGAAUAGAAGUGAGCAUGCAGGCAUGAGUAGCGAUAAUUAAUGUGAGAAUCAUUAACGCCGUAAACCCAAGGUUUCCUACGCGAUGCUCGUCAUCGUAGGGUUAGUCGGGUCCUAAGUCGAGUCCGAAAGGGGUAGACGAUGGCAAAUUGGUUAAUAUUCCAAUACCAACAUUAGUGUGCGAUGGAAGGACGCUUAGGGCUAAGGGGGCUAGCGGAUGGAAGUGCUAGUCUAAGGUCGUAGGAGGUUAUACAGGCAAAUCCGUAUAACAAUACUCCGAGAACUGAAAGGCUUUUUGAAGUCUUCGGAUGGAUAGAAGAACCCCUGAUGCCGUCGAGCCAAGAAAAGUUUCUAAGUUUAGCUAAUGUUGCCCGUACCGUAAACCGACACAGGUGGGUGGGAUGAGUAUUCUAAGGCGCGUGGAAGAACUCUCUUUAAGGAACUCUGCAAAAUAGCACCGUAUCUUCGGUAUAAGGUGUGGUUAGCCUUGUAUUAGGAUUUACUCCGAAAGCAAGGAAACUUACAACAAAGAGUCCCUCCCGACUGUUUACCAAAAACACAGCACUCUGCUAACUCGUAAGAGGAUGUAUAGAGUGUGACGCCUGCCCGGUGCUCGAAGGUUAAUUGAUGGGGUUAGCAUUAGCGAAGCUCUUGAUCGAAGCCCGAGUAAACGGCGGCCGUAACUAUAACGGUCCUAAGGUAGCGAAAUUCCUUGUCGGUUAAAUACCGACCUGCAUGAAUGGCGUAACGAGAUGGGAGCUGUCUCAAAGAGGGAUCCAGUGAAAUUGUAGUGGAGGUGAAAAUUCCUCCUACCCGCGGCAAGACGGAAAGACCCCGUGGACCUUUACUACAGCUUGACACUGCUACUUGGAUAAGAAUGUGCAGGAUAGGUGGGAGGCUUUGAGUAUAUGACGCCAGUUGUAUAUGAGCCAUUGUUGAGAUACCACUCUUUCUUAUUUGGGUAGCUAACCAGCUUGAGUUAUCCUCAAGUGGGACAAUGUCUGGUGGGUAGUUUGACUGGGGCGGUCGCCUCCCAAAUAAUAACGGAGGCUUACAAAGGUUGGCUCAGAACGGUUGGAAAUCGUUCGUAGAGUAUAAAGGUAUAAGCCAGCUUAACUGCAAGACAUACAAGUCAAGCAGAGACGAAAGUCGGUCUUAGUGAUCCGGUGGUUCUGUGUGGAAGGGCCAUCGCUCAAAGGAUAAAAGGUACCCCGGGGAUAACAGGCUGAUCUCCCCCAAGAGCUCACAUCGACGGGGAGGUUUGGCACCUCGAUGUCGGCUCAUCGCAUCCUGGGGCUGGAGCAGGUCCCAAGGGUAUGGCUGUUCGCCAUUUAAAGCGGUACGCGAGCUGGGUUCAGAACGUCGUGAGACAGUUCGGUCCCUAUCUGCCGUGGGCGUAAGAAGAUUGAAGAGAUUUGACCCUAGUACGAGAGGACCGGGUUGAACAAACCACUGGUGUAGCUGUUGUUCUGCCAAGAGCAUCGCAGCGUAGCUAAGUUUGGAAAGGAUAAACGCUGAAAGCAUCUAAGCGUGAAGCCAACUCUAAGAUGAAUCUUCUCUAAGCUCUCUAGAAGACUACUAGUUUGAUAGGCUGGGUGUGUAAUGGAUGAAAGUCCUUUAGCUGACCAGUACUAAUAGAGCGUUUGGCUUAUCUUUAAUAAAGCAU
RNAcentral lists this ribosomal RNA (1700 nucleotides) under Campylobacter jejuni. RNAcentral's name for it is "partial 23S ribosomal RNA". It matches the Rfam family "Bacterial large subunit ribosomal RNA", at positions 1244 to 2925 of the family's 2925-position model. Lineage: Bacteria; Pseudomonadati; Campylobacterota; Epsilonproteobacteria; Campylobacterales; Campylobacteraceae. The record is from RNAcentral.